AGAGCUCAAGCUUGAAAUUUGCCCCUUGUAAAAAGGGUGCCGAGUUGUAGCUUUUGGAGGCACUAUUGAGCGGCUAAUCUUGGUAAAAGUCCUUUUGAAUAAGGCAUCAGAGAGGGUGAAAAUCCCGUAUUUGACCAGGAGAAUAAAUUAGCAGCGAUAUCAAGUGUUUUCUUUGAGUCGGGUUGUUUGGGAAUGCAGCCCUAAUUAGGAGGUAAAUUUCUUCUAAAGCUAAAUAUCAGCAAGAGACCGAUAGCAUACAAGUACCGUGAGGGAAAGAUGAAAAGCACUUUGAAAAGAGAGUGAAAAGUACGUGAAAUUGUUGGAAGGGAACCGGUUGAUGACCAAGCUUUUUUGGCUUCCUUUCGGGGGAGUUGGAGGGUCAACAUCGGUUGUUUUAUGGCUAGAAGGGAUUUUGCGGGCUGACGGGGGAAAGGUAGUAAGCGAUCUGGGUAUUUUAUACCUAGGGCGUUUAUGUUAUAGACUCCCACAGGCUCGCUUCAAAAGCUCUAUAGUUGUAGCGACCGAGGAAUGCAGUGUGUUUUUAUCCUUCGGGAUUUAGGGCAGCUUGUAGGGAUGCAUUUUGUGGUGUUUUUAUCUGGGGCUAGACAGCUUUGCUGACUAGUUCUGAUGCGCCAUAUGUACGCCUUGCAAGGUGACCAAGAAGCACUUUGGAUGUUGGCGAAAAGGCAUCAAUCGACCCGUCUUGAAACACGGACCAAGGAGUCCAACAUGCAUGCGAGUAUUUGGGAAAAGAUAAACCCAUGUGCGUAAUGAAAGUGAAUUUUAUUUAGAAUGUGACCUGCUUUAUUGUGGGGCAACAUCAACCGACUUUAGAUAGCGCUGCUUGAAAAGGUUGAGUAAGAGCAUGUAUGCUGGGACCCGAAAGAUGGUGAACUAUGCCUGAAUAGGGUGAAGUCAGAGGAAACUCUGAUGGAAGCUCGUAGAGAUUCUGACGUGCAAAUCGAUCUCAAAAUUUGGGUAUAGGGGCGAAAGACUAAUCGAACCAUCUAGUAGCUGGUUCCUGCCGAAGUUUCCCUCAGGAUAGCAGAGACUGGAAUAUAAUUUAAAGCAGUUUUAUGAGGUAAAGCGAAUGAUUAGAGGCCUUGGGGAUGUAACAUCCUUAACCUAUUCUCAAACUUUAAAUGCGUAAGAAGCUCCAGUUACUUGAUUGAACUGGUGGCCAAUUUCGAAUGCAUCAGUCUCUAGUGGGCCAUUUUUGGUAAGCAGAACUGGCGAUGCGGGAUGAACCGAACGUAGAGUUAAGGUGCCUAAAUUCACGCUCAUGUAGACACCAUAAAAGGUGUUAGUUCAUCUAGACAGCAGGGCGGUGGCCAUGGAAGUCGGAAUCCGCUAAGGAGUGUGUAACAACUCACCUGCCGAAUGAACUAGCCCUGAAAAUGGAUGGCGCUCAAGCGUGAUACCGAUACUCUACCGCCAAAAUUAUAAGAACGUUUUGGCGAGUAGGCAGGCGUGGGGGUUUGUAGCGAAGCUGUGGGCGUAAGCUCCAGUGGAACAACCUCUAGU
Molecule: ribosomal RNA, 1524 nt
Filed under: Smittium culicis
Lineage: Eukaryota; Fungi; Kickxellomycota; Harpellomycetes; Harpellales; Legeriomycetaceae
Description: LSU rRNA
Rfam family: Eukaryotic large subunit ribosomal RNA
Source: RNAcentral